UUCAUAUCAGUUGCAGCGGUUCCUGUCUGCGUGGCACCAAAAGCUAUUCAGGCUAACAGCACCGCAGCUCGGCAGCAGGACGCCGAAGCGCUGAAAAGUAUGAGGGAGCCAUCGCCAAACACGGGAUCCAGAGUUUCUCUUUUAUGACCAAGUUCUCAGAUCAUAGGGCGGGAAGAAGCUUUGAAUGCUGGCUCUGCACAGAAUGGGAGUCAUUUACAAAGCAGAACCUGGCCAUAAGCCCUCGGUGGAAGCUCUCUCUACUGCCCUUCAGACAGAGCAAGCGGAGCUCAUCAAUACCAAAACCAGAAGAUGGCAUCUUACUUUUAAUGUGAAGACCUGAAAAUAAACCCAGUGAAUUCACCCGGAGGAAGUUCAGUGUGAAUAUUCCCUUCCUCUCUGUCACAAGCUUCACCAACCAGAGCCAGGUGUACCCAGAUGCACAUGCCACCACCUCAGGCCUCCGCACACACAGACCUCGCUGUCAAGCAAUAAUUAGGACAGGUAGGGCAGGAAUUGAAGAGCCUCCCUGACUCACACUUAGCCUUAAUGUCUUCCUCUAGCCCACCUUUACCUGGACUCAUCUUUAAAUUAAUCAUCUCCCAAAUGAUGCUGUUUGA
This is a non-coding RNA of Phalacrocorax carbo (great cormorant), 617 nucleotides long. NCBI's taxonomy places the organism in Eukaryota, Metazoa, Chordata, Aves, Suliformes, Phalacrocoracidae. The record is from RefSeq and is a predicted model, not a curated record.